RNAcentral lists this long non-coding RNA (4478 nucleotides) under Homo sapiens (human). RNAcentral describes it as "mir-99a-let-7c cluster host gene (MIR99AHG)". Lineage: Eukaryota; Metazoa; Chordata; Mammalia; Primates; Hominidae. The record is from RNAcentral.
AUAAAGGACUUGUCUAGGGGAGAGCCUAUGGAUCUGAGAACGCUGUCUGGGCUUGGUACCAAGAGCUGGUAUUUCACAGCAGCGACCGCCUCACAGACGAGCUGUGGGAAGCAGGAGGGAGACUCUCUCUUAGGGUGCCACUACUAUGGAGACACAGCUGGGCUGAACAAGAUUUGCUUCAAACGACAACAAGAGAGACAGAAAGUAUCUGGUUCAACCGCUGCCCGAGCAGGCAGGCACCAGAAGAGCUAGCAGCCAAUCCGGCCAUGCUCGAAGCCAGCUCUGCAGCUCAGCCAAUCAGUGACAUCAUUGCUUUCUUUAGCUUGCCCAUGGUGAUGUGAAGAUGAGAAGAAAUAGCAAGGCCCAACCAGUUCUUCAUCUGGAGACAGUUCAACGUUCUGCAAACCAGAUCUUCAGGAAUUUUACUGGGAUAAUUAUCCAAAUAAAUUGCAAGCAUUCUAUCCAAAUGGACAUCCAUAAAAAUUCAUCAGAGAGCAUUUUACUACUGAGCUGCAAAGGGAAAAACUUAAAAUGGAUAUGAAAAGUGAAGAAAGUGAUCAUAGGAGAAAACCAUUUCAGGUGUCUGAUGAUUUGUGAGCCUCAAGUGACUACUCUGUGGAAUCAUCUGUCCUUGCCUUUGAAUUAGCUUUCCCUAGGCCAUGAGUCAACAUUAGUAGUUUAUACAUCCAAAUUGAUGACAAGAGCACCUCAAAGGCAGCAGCCUCAAGGAGCAGCCAUGGCCCCAGACUUGUCGCACGGAUGCAGAAAACUUAAUGGAGGAGGCUGAGGUCAGAAUGGGAAGAGUUUUUAAAAAAUAAAAAGGGGAGCUAAUAUGUGAGGAACUGAUUGCUGUGCAUUAUUUUCCACUGAACAGACCUUCUUUUAACUUCUAAUCUCAAGCACAUAGCAGCUGUUGUUUUCAUAUUAAAGAUCAGUAAGUGUUUGUUGAAUGAAUGUAUAAAUUCUUCCCCAAUCUCUGUUCCAUGUAAUAAGAACUAAGUUAGCAUUCAAUUAUAAAGAGGACUUAGAAAGUCUGCAGACAUUUUUGAUCAAAAAUCCUUUUAACUGUCUUCUUAUGGUUCCCGGUAACACCUAAGCCCAAAAAACUCAGGUCAUUUCUUGCCUGUACUGUUGCAAUAGCCUCAUAAUAACUAGUCUUCUCCUUUAUCAACCACAGUCGUCUCCGCUACACAAAGAAGAGAGGGUGCUAAUCUAAAGUGUAAAUUAUUUUAAAUCAGCACCCUUCUUGUAAUUUCCCAGUGGUUUUUCCUGUCAUAAGAAUAACAUGCAAAAUUCCUUGCUUGCAAAGCCAGGUAUGACCUUGCCCCGUCUACCUUACUGGCAUCGUCUCUCAUGACUCUUCCCCUUUUUCACUCUCCAUCUUGCCUUUUCCCAACCAUGCCUGCUAGUGAGCCUUAGCCCUUGUGUUUUCUCUGCCAGGGAUGCAUGACUGGCUUCUUUACUUUAUUCUGAUCUCUCUGCUCAAAUGUCAUCUUUUUAGAGAUAGCUUUCCUAAACAUCUUUAAAAGUACCCCAUGAACUGUGAAACACCUUUCCUGCUUUUUCUUCAUAGUACUUAUCACUUCCUGAUAUUAUGUUAGACAACAAGCAAAUAAGUAUAUGCUGUUCCCACUAAAAUAUAAGCUCCAUUUGAACAGGAGCCUUGAUUAUUCCUGAGUAUACCCCUAGUGCCCAGAACCUAGUAGGGCUUUAAUAAAUAUUAGAUUCAUUUGUUGAAUGAAAAAAUGAAUGAAUAAUUGAAUAAAGAUAUCCAGGUAGAGUGUCCGGGCAGCCCAACCUAUGUGAAGCCAGUACAAGAAUGUUUCUGUGACAUAGUGAGCGCAAUUAUUCCUCUAAAUGAUGAACUUGCAUGAGUACACAAGGAUAAAAUUAAGCACGUAGUUUAGAUUUCUGCAAGUCUCUUCCUCAGAUUGAGGAAAAACAAAGAAAUUGAGCUUAUUCUCACCUCAUUCUUACAUGAACUAAAUCCAGAAUAAAGCAUCAUUUAAAUACCAAGCACAUCCCUACCUCAGCCACUCAUGGAAUACUUUAUCUGUAAAGGGACAGAUAGAUAGUAAAUAUUUUUGGCUUUGGGGACCGUACAGUCUGUGUCGCCACUACUCAGCACUUCUGUUGAGGUGUGGAAUCAGCCCUAGACAACACAUAAACAAAUGGGUGUGGCUGUGUUCCAAUAAAAUGUUAUUUAUAAAACUAGGAAAUCAGCAGAUUUAGUCCACAGGCUGUAGUUUGCUGACCCUUGAAUUAGAGAGUCUUCCCCAAAUCCUCUUCCCAAGUUAUUGAAAGAAUGCCCAUAGGACCAUAGCUCCCUCACCUGGUUCUUUCAAGAAAUGAGACAAAUUCAGGGAUGGUUGGAGGGUGGAACGCCUACCUGUGACAUGACUAUUGAGCCUGAUUUCUUUCCUUUUAUCUCUUUAAAGUGAGUCAGGUCUUAACUUUAAACUGUCUCUAAAGUGGCAAUAACUGGGCCAUGUCAAAUACUCCCAAUGACAAAAUUUCUUCUUGGAGAAUGAAUGAGGGUUGCAUACAGUGGUGUGUUGGUAAAUGUUUAGCAACUGGCUCUCUUACUGAUUUCUGUAGUGUAAAUUCUCCCAUCCUGGCCAUCUGAAACUACCAAUAUGAUGUCACUUGAUGUAGAGUUGGGAAAAGACAGUCUCUUGAAUAAGUAUGAGCUGGUUCCAGCCCACUGCUGAACACAUAUUUAAAAGCUACAAUAGCUCUGCUCACUGCCAUUGCAGAGUCUGGAGGAAAGAGUAGCAGGCUUGAUAGGAGCAAUUGGCUGAAUAAUCUUUUGCAAUGCCAAUAAAUAAUGAAAAAGUAUAUAAAUAUAACGCUGUAUAGAAAGCUCUCAAGUUCAGUGUUUGGUUAAAAUACAUACUCAGUAAAUGGUAGCUAUUAUUGUCUUAGUUUAAGUUAUUGCAAGCAUUAAAAUUAAAUGUUUAGCUACAGACUCAAUCCAGUUUUAAUGUCAUUGUGUUAAUAAGGCCUCUUAACAUUGAAGCAACAAAGAUAAAGGAAUUUUUUUGUAGCUAUUCACGAUUCUGCCCAGCUCAAGGUAAAGAUAGCAACAAAAUACUCCAACCAGAAUAAAAGAAGUCUCCACUUGACUGCAGCUCUUCGCAACACUUCACAAGGGUCAAGCUGUGUUAGUUUCCUUCAGUGUUAAACAGAAUGCAUCUUAAGAGAAUAGUUCAAUUAUUGAUUGAAUAGUAGGUUCAAGUUGACUAUAAUCCCAACUAAUACACUCUAAGACCAGGGAUGGGCCGACAGAAGGGUAAAGUUUUCCACUCAAGUCUCGAGGCAAACACUCAGAUAGAAGUAGUAAUAUGGAUGCCUUCUAUUAUUUGGUCACAUACAAUACUGUUCCAGCCCAGUUGUGCAAAACUGGUGAAAUAAAAGGCAAAAAUAUUGACAACAGUUUGGGUAACUGGAUUCCAAAAUGGGCAUCCAUCUAAGAGAAAUUAAUGAAAAAAAAGCAUAUGGACCUUGAAAUACAUUAAUACACAGUUUAGGUUUAAACACUCAGUUUUUAUUAGAAAAGACUAACUUAUCCUGUUUUGAACACUACAAAAGUGCUUUCUGAACCAUUUACUCUCAAACCUCCUCCACCCAUUCCCCUCCAUCUAUAACGCUUUCUGCACAUCUGUAAAAGGUAUGACUUAGUGUUUGGUCUGUGAAAUAAGGUUAAAAAGGAAGCAUUUCUUUUUACAUUCUAGCUAAUGUUGAUAUUUUUCUCAUGCUUCUAUUAGCACAUAAUUCAGAUACAUUAGUUUUGAAGUUUUGAAUCUUCUCUGCUUCUUGAGGGCUCUCUGUUCUAGAUCAACAUGAUCUGUGGAACACCAGCCAAGUCCUGGGCAGAACCCUCCCCGUUGUCCAAAUAUUACUGAAUCAGUUGAGUUUUCUCUGUUGUCAAUGAAUUAUUCCACAUGUUUCUUUGGCUACAUUUUUUUUGGCUUUCUGUUCACAGUAAAUAUAGCCUUUGUUUUUAAAAACUUCUAUUAUGAAAAUUCCAAAUAUAUGCAAAUUAGAGAGAAUAGCAUAAUGAACCUCUAUGUGCUUAUCACACAUAUAGGUUCAACUAAUUAAAUUAUAUCAAUUUAUGGCCAAUCUGGUUUCAUUUAUAACAUCAUUCGCUCAUUCCUAACUCCCUGGAUUAUUUGAUUGACAUGUUUCUAAAGUUCCUUUUAAUCUGUAGGUUCCCCCUCUCAUUUAAUCUUUUGCAACUUAUUCAUUGAUGAAACUGGGUUAUUUGUCCUUUAUUGUUUCUCUCAUUCUGAAAUAUGCUGUAAUGUCAUUAACCAUAUUCUUCUUUCCUGUAUUUUCUGUAAGCUUUGAGCUAGGCAGAAAUAUUUUAAUCAGAUUCCUUUUUUUUUCUUUUAGCAAGAUUUCUUCAUAAAUAAUAUUGUAUGUGUUCAUGAAAAUAGAAAUAAAAAUAGAAAUAAAGAAGAAAUAACAGAAAA